RNAcentral lists this long non-coding RNA (203 nucleotides) under Vigna radiata. Its description in RNAcentral is "long non-coding RNA (VRAD_LNC015222)". Lineage: Eukaryota; Viridiplantae; Streptophyta; Magnoliopsida; Fabales; Fabaceae. The record is from RNAcentral.
AUGGACGAGUUCAACAAUGUGGUGGCAUGGGCGCAGAUGAUGCAUAGGCUGGUGGAGCUAGAGCAGCUGAAGCUCCAGACAUGGAAGAUGAUGAGGAGGACACUGACUUUGAGGAUGCAGAAGAAGGAGAUGAAGAGGAUUCAGAUCACAGUAUGGAUUGAGGAGAUGACAUAGCAUCUACUGAUGGAUGUUAUCGACACUAG